GGUGUCUGGCUUAAGUGCCAUAACGAGCGCAACCCUCUCCUUAGUUGCCAUCAGGUUAAGCUGGGCACUCUGGGGACACUGCCACCGUAAGGUGUGAGGAAGGUGGGGAUGACGUCAAAUCAGCACGGCCCUUACGUCCG
RNAcentral lists this ribosomal RNA (140 nucleotides) under uncultured bacterium. RNAcentral's name for it is "partial 16S ribosomal RNA". It matches the Rfam family "Bacterial small subunit ribosomal RNA", at positions 1071 to 1210 of the family's 1533-position model. The record is from RNAcentral.